Molecule: non-coding RNA, 115 nt
Filed under: Psychrobacillus sp. FJAT-21963
Lineage: Bacteria; Bacillati; Bacillota; Bacilli; Caryophanales; Bacillaceae
Also listed under: 1 other name
Description: SAM riboswitch aptamer (S box leader)
Rfam family: SAM riboswitch aptamer (S box leader)
About the family: The SAM riboswitch is found upstream of a number of genes which code for proteins involved in methionine or cysteine biosynthesis in Gram-positive bacteria. The SAM riboswitch acts at the level of transcription termination control. The predicted structure consists of a complex stem-loop region followed by a single stem loop terminator region.
Source: Rfam by way of RNAcentral
CUCUUAUCAAGAGUGGCGGAGGGACUAGGCCCUACGAUGCCCGGCAACCAACAAGUUUUAUACUUGGAAAGGUGCUAAAUCCUACAAAUUCACGAGCGAAUUUGGAAGAUAAGAG